AGUUUAUAUUAGGUUAUAAGAAAUUUUGAAAAUUUUUUAGAAGUGUUCGAUUCACUUAUGAACUU
This 65-nucleotide transfer RNA is filed under the name Ascarosepion mestus. Its description in RNAcentral is "tRNA-Ser". The record is from RNAcentral. Lineage: Eukaryota; Metazoa; Mollusca; Cephalopoda; Sepiida; Sepiidae.